AGGAAGGCUCUUGGGUUGUAAACCUCUUUUCUCAGGGAAGAAAAAAUGACGGUACCUGAGGAAUAAGCAUCGGCUAACUCCGUGCCAGCAGCCGCGGUAAUACGGAGGAUGCAAGCGUUAUCCGGAAUGAUUGGGCGUAAAGCGUCCGCAGGUGGCAGUGUAAGUCUGCUGUUAAAGCGUCUGGCUCAACCAGAUAAGGGCAGUGGAAACUACACAGCUAGAGUACGUUCGGGGCAGAGGGAAUUCCUGGUGUAGCGGUGAAAUGCGUAGAGAUCAGGAAGAACACCGGUGGCGAAAGCGCUCUGCUAGGCCGUAACUGACACUGAGGGACGAAAGCUAGGGGAGCGAAUGGGAUUAGAUA
Molecule: ribosomal RNA, 361 nt
Filed under: uncultured cyanobacterium
Lineage: Bacteria; Bacillati; Cyanobacteriota
Description: bacterial SSU rRNA
Rfam family: Bacterial small subunit ribosomal RNA
Source: RNAcentral